RNAcentral lists this transfer RNA (106 nucleotides) under Xylaria digitata. Its description in RNAcentral is "tRNA-Met". It matches the Rfam family "tRNA". Rfam says of the family: Transfer RNA (tRNA) molecules are approximately 80 nucleotides in length. Their secondary structure includes four short double-helical elements and three loops (D, anti-codon, and T loops). Further hydrogen bonds mediate the characteristic L-shaped molecular structure. tRNAs have two regions of fundamental functional importance: the anti-codon, which is responsible for specific mRNA codon recognition, and the 3' end, to which the tRNAs corresponding amino acid is attached (by aminoacyl-tRNA synthetases). tRNAs cope with the degeneracy of the genetic code in two manners: having more than one tRNA (with a specific anti-codon) for a particular amino acid; and 'wobble' base-pairing, i.e. permitting non-standard base-pairing at the 3rd anti-codon position. The record is from RNAcentral. Lineage: Eukaryota; Fungi; Ascomycota; Sordariomycetes; Xylariales; Xylariaceae.
GUCUUGAUGGCGCAGUUGGCUAGCGCGUUGGUCUCAUAUUUAAAAAUAUGAUCUAGUCAUAGGCUAGGCUAUCCAGAGGUCGUGAGUUCGAGCCUCACUCAGGACA